This is a non-coding RNA of Aspergillus coremiiformis, 99 nucleotides long. Lineage: Eukaryota; Fungi; Ascomycota; Eurotiomycetes; Eurotiales; Aspergillaceae. The record is from the annotation of a GenBank genome assembly.
GCCCGGUUAGCUUAGUUGGUAGAGCGUGAGACUUUUAGUCCGAUUUCUACAAAUCCCCUAGUGAUCUCAAGGUCGCGGGUUCGAGCCCCGCAUUGGGCG